RNAcentral lists this ribosomal RNA (848 nucleotides) under Polypedates leucomystax (Java whipping frog). RNAcentral describes it as "partial 16S ribosomal RNA". It matches the Rfam family "Bacterial large subunit ribosomal RNA", at positions 1513 to 2609 of the family's 2925-position model. Lineage: Eukaryota; Metazoa; Chordata; Amphibia; Anura; Rhacophoridae. The record is from RNAcentral.
AAUACCAUUAAUUUUCAUGAACCCCUAAUCUAUAAUGAAUGACUCCAUAUUUAUAUGGAAGACACCAUGCUAGGAUUAGUAACAAGAAUUUAUAAUUCUCCAAAAUGCAAAUAUAAACCAACAUGGAUGGACCAUUGGUAGUUACCGAACCUAAAUUCAAUGCAACAACACCUACAAGAAAACUCUGCAGUACUUACUCGUUAACCUAACACCAGCGCAUUACAGGAAAGAUUUAAAAAAAGAGAAGGAAUUCGGCAAAUGACGGCCCCGCCUGUUUACCAAAAACAUCGCCUCUUGACUUAUAAUAAGAGGUCCAGCCUGCCCAGUGAAUUUUAAACGGCCGCGGUAUCCUAACCGCGCGAAGGUAGCAUAAUCACUUGUUCUUUAAAUGGGGACUCGUAUCAACGGCAUCACGAGGGUUUUACUGUCUCCUCUUUUUGAUCAGUGAAAUUGAUCUUCCCGUGAAGAAGCGGGAAUAAAUUUAUAAGACGAGAAGACCCCAUGGAGCUUUAAACCAAAUAACAACUUAACCACUUAUCCCAUAAUAAAUUUAAGCCCUGUUAUAAGGUUUUUGGUUGGGGUGACCGCGGAGUAAAACACAUCCUCCACGACGAAAAAAACAGAAUCUUUAUUUAAGAACCACACUUCUAGAAAUUAGUAUACUAACGUUUACUGACCCGACAAUCGAUCAACGGACCAAGUUACCCUGGGGAUAACAGCGCAAUCUACUUCAAGAGCUCAUAUCGACAAGUAGGCUUACGACCUCGAUGUUGGAUCAGGGUAUCCCGGUGGUGCAGCCGCUACCGAAGGUUCGUUUGUUCAACGAUUAAAACCCUACGUGAUCUGAU